CACGCCGUAAACGAUGGAUACUAGGUGUGGGGGAUACCAAUCCUCCGUGCCGUCGUUAACACACUAAGUAUCCCGCCUGGGGAGUACGAUCGCAAGAUUAAAACUCAAAGGAAUUGACGGGGGCCCGCACAAGCAGCGGAGCAUGUGGUUUAAUUCGAAGCAACGCGAAGAACCUUACCUAGACUUGACAUCUCCUGAAUUACCUGUAAUUAGGGAAGCCCUUCGGGGCAGGAAGACAGGUGG
This 243-nucleotide ribosomal RNA is filed under the name uncultured bacterium. RNAcentral describes it as "partial 16S ribosomal RNA". It matches the Rfam family "Bacterial small subunit ribosomal RNA", at positions 796 to 1041 of the family's 1533-position model. The record is from RNAcentral.